This 565-nucleotide ribosomal RNA is filed under the name uncultured archaeon. RNAcentral describes it as "bacterial SSU rRNA". It matches the Rfam family "Archaeal small subunit ribosomal RNA", at positions 156 to 722 of the family's 1478-position model. The record is from RNAcentral.
AUGGACCAUAGAUACUGGAAUGUUCUGUGGUCAAAAGCUCCGGCGCCUUAGGAUGGAUCUGCGGCCUAUCAGGUAGUAGUGGGUGUAACGUACCUACUAGCCUACGACGGGUACGGGUUGUGAGAGCAAGAGCCCGGAGAUGGAUUCUGAGACAUGAAUCCAGGCCCUACGGGGCGCAGCAGGCGCGAAAACUUUACAAUGCGGGAAACCGUGAUAAGGGGACACCGAGUGCCAGCAUCAUAUGCUGGCUGUCCAGGUGUGUAAAAUACACCUGUUAGCAAGGGCCGGGCAAGACCGGUGCCAGCCGCCGCGGUAACACCGGCGGCCCGAGUGGUGAUCGUGAUUAUUGGGUCUAAAGGGUCCGUAGCCGGUUUGGUCAGUCCUCCGGGAAAUCUGAUAGCUCAACUAUUAGGCUUUCGGGGGAUACUGCCAGACUUGGAACCGGGAGAGGUAAGAGGUACUACAGGGGUAGGAGUGAAAUCUUGUAAUCCCUGUGGGACCACCUGUGGCGAAGGCGUCUUACCAGAACGGGUUCGACGGUGAGGGACGAAAGCUGGGGGCACGA